CGGGGCUCAAUGCCUUGUAAUUGGAAUGAUGGGAAUCUAAACCCCUUCCAGAGUAUCAAUUGGAGGGCAAGUCUGGUGCCAGCAGCCGCGGUAAUUCCAGCUCCAAUAGCGUAUAUUAAAAUUGUUGCAGUUAAAAAGCUCGUAGUUGAAUUUCUGCCGCCCCGACGAGACCCCACGGCCCCGACGCUGCGGCUUAUUUCGGACUUGCGUGCAUCUCCGAAUGUUUACUUUGAGAAAAUUAGAGUGCUCAAAGCAGGCCCUUGCCUUGAAUACUUUAGCAUGGAAUAAUAAAGUAGGACUUUGGUUCUAUUUUGUUGGUUUAGCACCAAAGUAAUGGUUAAUAGGAACAGUUGGGGGCAUUCGUAUUUAACUGUCAGAGGUGAAAUUCUUAGAUUUGUUAAAGACGAACCACUGCGAAAGCAUUUGCCAAGGAUGUUUUCAUUAAUCAAGAAC
Molecule: ribosomal RNA, 453 nt
Filed under: Theileria cf. mutans 2
Lineage: Eukaryota; Apicomplexa; Aconoidasida; Piroplasmida; Theileriidae
Description: SSU rRNA
Rfam family: Eukaryotic small subunit ribosomal RNA
Source: RNAcentral